Molecule: long non-coding RNA, 2750 nt
Organism: Leopardus geoffroyi (Geoffroy's cat)
Lineage: Eukaryota; Metazoa; Chordata; Mammalia; Carnivora; Felidae
Exons: 3
Source: RefSeq, a predicted model, not a curated record
UCCAUAAGUGGGGGGCCUGAGACCCAGAUGUCUCAGUGUUUGGACCCCCAUCCAGGGACCACUGUAAUCGGGAGUUAUCACUCAUCCAGAGAGUACCCACACUCUCAUCAGUUGCCUUUUGUGGACUUUGUUCCAGUGGUGAAUAACAGAGAAUGUCUGUUGCUAAGCCACAGCAUUACAAAGAGCAGUGCAACUUCCUUGAUUAUAGUUCAUCAACCAGGGAGAGUGGAAGCCAUUAAAGAGGCCAAUCUGGGACUUGUAAUUAAUCAGGAGCAAAGGUAUCUUUGAGGAACCAGCAGAGACUAGAGAUGUCAGAGAAGAGAAGAAGUUCAUAACUUCAUGAAGCCCCAUCUUGGCCUCCACUGCCGCCGAGGCACUGAGAAGGUAAAUAGGUCUGAACCAGCCCUGCCACAAAGGACACCGGCAAAGCUAUGUGGCAGGUGCUAAAGUCAGCAAGGUCUGCAAUGCAGGAGUCUCAAGGCCCCAAACUGCUUGUGGCAAGCUCCUCCUGGUUGUUGACAGUCAACAGAGUGGUGAAAAAUAACCCACAAGACCGCACAUCUGGAGGCCAUAGAAAGGAGACCCAAACUGGUGAGCCACAUGAGCUUUAUCUCCGUGAGAGCUUUGGACUGUCCUCAAAGACUCAGACUGCCCCGUACAAAAGCAGUUUUGAAACAGAAAAGACUCUUGGAAAAAACGAGGGUGACGUCUCAUUUCUCGAUACAGUUUUGGUCUCGUUGGGAUAAAAAUAACAAGAAACAAGAAGAGUUUGAAGAUAUUAGGCUCUUAAGAUCUUUAGAAGUGACUCUUGUCCAGGAGUUUUCAACUGUUGCCCACCUCUCUCAUAAUCCUUGGCUCGAGGAAACAGUUACCAGGGCAGAGCAUCCAAAAUAAGCCCAACUCACUCCUGGAUGAAGAGCAUGAAAGGAUGGCACCUAAGGGGGAUCCAUAUUGUACAGUUUAAAAACCAUGAUUCUAGUCCAACUACCAGAUUCAAGAAACUAAGGCGCAGAGAGGGGAAACACCUAGUAGCGGAUUUGGAGUUGGAAUAUUGAUCUCUUGAUUCUCCCUCCAUUGGGUAAUCCCUUGCCCAUCACACUAUACCUACUUCAUAUUUCAGAAGACACACUCCGUUUCACAAACAUAAGGCAUUCAAACUGACUACCUACAAGUUAUAUGCAUAUAAAUAAGGAGAGGAAAUAUGUCAAGAUCUUAACACAGUCUGCCUACUGUCAAUUUCAUUGGCUCCCACAGGGUACGAUAGAAAACUCAUUGUCGUGUACCCCUAUCAUCUACAACAGUAUGCUUGCAUAAAACUGAUGCUCCCCAAAUACUGGUUAGACCAUGCAUGAAUAAACACUGGAUAGGCAUGUCCAUAAAACAAAAUUAUUCUCUUUAACCAUGCAAAACAGUUCUCUAGUCCGGAGCUUCUCAAUUGGCAGGCUAAGGCACAGUGUGUCUCAAUGGGUUCCAGGUGUACCGCAUUGUAGAAGGUCAGAGGGGACCAGGGGCUUCCAUAGUUCCUGAGUAGUCACCUUGGGUGAGGAGAAGCCCCACCCACUGAUUCCAGUAUGCUGAAUGCAUGCCAUCAUUUCCCACAAGGAUCAUGAUGUAAAGUAGGUUGGGAAGCACAGCUUGGGCUUAGGUGUUGGUGUUCCCAAUGGAAUAGCAAUGUGGUGCAGUAAGAAGGGACGACGGCUACAGCUCAGCAAACCUCCACUGAAAUGCCAGUGACAUUAUUUAAAGUCAAAUAAUUAUAUUCCGUAUCUGAAUUUUGUAUUUUAAACUUUUUCUGGAUUUUGAUAAUCAGUAAGUCUUCCCAAAUGAUGGCAGUACUUUUGGGUUUCCUUGCAGAUGAAGACAGCAUUUUACCUUGGUAGUUCUCCUAAUAACCUGUAUUAUACACUUCCCUACAGCUCUGCCUCCCAGUGAGGAAUACAUUUCCUAUUAAGAAGUUUCUUGCACUUUCCAAGUGUCUUUCACCUAUAUCUGUAUCUAUAUCUUCAUCUAAAUCUCUCUCUGUAUCUCUAUUUGUAUCUGUAUCUGUGUUUCAAAACAUCGAAAAUAAAAAUGGUAAGCCCAGUGUCUUUCCAUGCCUACGACGAUGAUUUUUUAAAACCAGAAACAAAACUCCUAUUCUGUAGAUGAGAAUUCUAAUUUUUCUAAAUAGGAAAACUCUUGAGUCAAUUUAUGAGAUGGUAUGAAACCCUUAGAAUGUGUUUUCUUUUGAUGUUAUUAGCCACACACAAAAAUACAGCUACGAAACAUGUAACUGGAAAUUCAGUAAAAUAAUUCAACAUUCUUAUUUUUUUGUUUACUUCCACUAAUUUUUUUGAACAAAACUCUUUGUACCCAAUGCCUGUAUUACCUCAGCUUUCAUAUAAAUACCUUGUAAGGAAACUUUUUGCAUGAUUUUCUGAUGAGCAAAGCAGCUAGCCUCGCCACUUAAUUUAGCACUGCAGAAAGCCUAAGGAGUAGAACAAAAUGUCCAACAUUCUGGCAGGUACAGAGGCAGAGAGAACAAAGAUACCAUCCCUGCCCUCAGAGGUUUCCCAUGUAGUGGGAGGAGCAGACACUUCUAUAAAUAACUGACUAGAGGCAAAGGGCAGAACACAUUCCUAUUAUGGAGGAAUGAGUAAUGUGUGAUGGAAACAGAGUAAUUACUUCUGAAUGGUAAGGGACCAGGCAACAUGGUGAUGGUGUGAGGCUGGGAACCUAUCUGGGUGGGAUUUGACUUGGUUCUUGGAGGG